UACGUAGGGGGCAAGCGUUGUCCGGAAUCAUUGGGCGUAAAGCGCGUGUAGGCGGCCAGAUAAGUCCGCUGUGAAAUCUCGAGGCUCAACUUCGAGCUGUCGGUGGAAACUGUCUGGCUAGAGUCCGGAAGAGGAGAAUGGAAUUCCUGGUGUAGCGGUGAAAUGCGCAGAUAUCAGGAAGAACACCCGUGGCGAAGGCGGUUCUCUGGGACGGUACUGACGCUGAGGCGCGAAAGCCAGGGGAGCAAACGGG
Molecule: ribosomal RNA, 253 nt
Filed under: uncultured bacterium
Lineage: Bacteria
Description: partial 16S ribosomal RNA
Rfam family: Bacterial small subunit ribosomal RNA
Source: RNAcentral